GGGAUUCAUUGUCUCUUUUCUCAUCAUUUCCCAUGGGAUUCAUUUUUCCCCUCUUACAGAAGUUAAUUUUUUUUUAAAUUGUUGUCUUGCAUCUGACAUCAACUAAAAAAAUAUUGUAAAAACAGUCCAAUGAUAAUCAAAACAGUACCAUGACAAUACUCUUUGGCUAUCAGAUGAACUCAAACAUUUCUAAAGUAUUUGCACAUCUUGGCGCUCCUCCUUUUUCAACAAACAACAAUCUUUUCCCAAGGCGACCUCUCAUCCACUUCAAUCACAUCCCCCUAAUGAGACUCUACUACACGAUCAUGGAUAGAGUUUCAAAAAACAAUACAUGGCCGUGUAGUAGGGUCUCGCUAUGGAGGAUGAGAUUAAAGUGAAUGAAAAGGCGGCUUGGGAAAUGAUUGGUCCUUGUCACGUCGAAAACAAAGUAGCGCUAAGAUGUGGAAAUGCUAUUGAGAUGUUUGAGUUUGACAACGGAAAACAAUCAGACGACAAUCAACUGGAGGAGCUCCUCCGGUAAUUAGACAA
Long non-coding RNA from Arabidopsis thaliana (thale cress), 528 nucleotides. RefSeq annotates it as other RNA. The record is from RefSeq. The transcript has a single exon. Lineage: Eukaryota; Viridiplantae; Streptophyta; Magnoliopsida; Brassicales; Brassicaceae.